UACGUAGGGUGCGAGCGUUGUCCGGAAUUAUUGGGCGUAAAGAGCGUGUAGGCGGCCAGGUAGGUCAGCUGUGAAAACUCGAGGCUCAACCUCGAGACGUCGGUUGAAACCACCUGGCUAGAGUCCGGAAGAGGAGAGUGGAAUUCCUGGUGUAGCGGUGAAAUGCGCAGAUAUCAGGAGGAACACCGAUGGCGAAGGCAGCUCGCUGGGACGGUACUGACGCUGAGGCGCGAAAGCGUGGGGAGCGAACAGG
This 253-nucleotide ribosomal RNA is filed under the name uncultured bacterium. Its description in RNAcentral is "partial 16S ribosomal RNA". It matches the Rfam family "Bacterial small subunit ribosomal RNA", at positions 524 to 776 of the family's 1533-position model. The record is from RNAcentral.